This is a long non-coding RNA of Anolis carolinensis (green anole), 10292 nucleotides long. RefSeq lists it as uncharacterized. The transcript is spliced from 2 exons. The record is from RefSeq and is a predicted model, not a curated record. Lineage: Eukaryota; Metazoa; Chordata; Lepidosauria; Squamata; Anolidae.
CUCUCUCUGGCUUCUUUUCUCCCACGCCCCCGCUGACGUCACCCCCCCUCCCCUCCACGAAGAGGAGGCUUCUCUCUCUCUCAGCAACAGGUGGGACUCACUCCCCGCCGCAACCCCCCGACCCUCACCUGUGGAGCCCCAGAGAGAGAACGGAGGACAAGCCCCGCCCCCUCCCGCCCCCGCCCCCGCCCCCCUCCUUGGGCGCGGCUCUCUCCUCCCCAUCAUCCCCAGGAAAAGGGCAGGAAAGGAGGGGAUGAUGGGACGCCCAGAGGGAGGGAGGGAAGAACGGACCAAUAGGGAGAGAGCCAGGGGAGGGGGGACAAAUACAACAGACAGAGACAGAAAGACAGUACAGUCUGGCUUGUCCUGCAUACACAGCUCCCAGCAUCCCUUACCCUUGCCGCCCUGAAUUCAUUAUGUCAUGUAGUUUCCCCCAGAGAAGCCAUGGACCUUGGGAAACUACAGCUCCCAGCAUCCCUUACCCUUGCGGCCCUGAAUUAUGUCAUGUAGUUGCCCCCAGAGAAGGCUGUGGACCUUUGGAAACUACAGCUCCCAUCAUCCUUUAUCCCUGGGGCUCUGCAAUCAUUUUAUCAUGUAGUUUCCCCCAGAAAGCUCUAUGGACCUUGGGAAACUACAACUCCCAGCAUCCCUUACGCUUGGGGCCCUGUGUCACUUGUAUCAUGUAGUUUCCCCCAGAGAAGCCAUGGACCUUGGGAAACUACAGCUCCCAGCAUCCCUUACCCUUGGGGCCCUGAAUUCAUUAUAUCAUGUAGUUUCCGCAAGAGAAGGCUGUGGACCUUGGGAAACUACAGCUCCCAGCAUCCCUUAACCUUGGGGCCCUGUGUGCUACAACUCCCAGCAUCCCUUACCCUUGGGACCCUGCUGUGGACCUUGGGAAACUACAGCUCCCAGUAUCCCUUACCCUUGGGGCCCUGUGUCACUUGUAUCAUGUAGUUUCCCCCAGAGAAGCCGUGGACCUUGGGAAACUACAGCUCCCAGCAUCCCUUACCCUUGGGGCCCUGAAUUCAUUAUAUCAUGUAGUUUCCCUGUGGACCUUAGGAGACUACAGCUCCCCUCAUCCCUUAGCCUCGGGGCCCGAAGUGUCGCUCUGCAGUGCGGACCCCCCCCCCCCCCCCCCCGCCUUGCCUGAUGAUCCGCACCCGCCCUAAGCCUGGCCGUUCCGCCUCCAGAAAGUCCCCAUAAUCCUAAUAAGCCUCAGAUACGGAUCUCUUAUUACCGGCCUGCUUCUUCUCCUUCUUUUUUUAUGUCUCCGAAGGGAGAGGGAAAGGGAUUUGGGGGGAUUUUCCACCUCUUGGGCUCAAGCGGCCUCCAGUCGACCGACCGUGGAAGGGACGUGGCUUUGGGCCUCCUUCCAGAGAGACAGAGCGGGGGACAACAACAACAACAACAACAACAAGGCUUGCUAUGUUCAGGGCUCCGUUGUUGGUGGAGUACAGAAUGCUCUUUGAUUUAUAAAUCCCAGCAACUACAACUCCAAAAUGACAAGGCGUAUUCUCCCAAAACUCCACCAGUGUUCACAUGUGGGCAUAUUGAGUAUUUGUGCCAAGUCUGGUCCAGAUCCAUCAUUGUUUGAGUCCACGGUGCUCUCUGGAUGUAGGUGAACUACAACUCCCAAACUCAAGGUCAAUGCCCACCAAACCCUCCCAGUAUUUCCUGUCAGUCAUGGGAGUUCUGUGAGCCAGGUUUGGUUCAAUUCCAUCGUUGAUGGAUUUCAGAAUGCUCUUUGAUUGUAGGUGAACUAUAAAUCCCAGCAACUACAACUCCCAGAUGGCAAAAUUGACCCUCUAAACCCCACCAGUAUACAAAUGUGGACGUAUUGGGUAUUUGUGCUAAAUUUGGUCCUGUGAAUGAAAAUACAUCCUGCAAAUCAGAUACUGACAUUACAAUUCAUAACAGUAGCAAAACAGUUACGAAUUAGCAAUGAAAUAAUAAUAAUAAUAGCUGAUAAGGAGAAGAUCUGGCUCUGGCUCACGAAUGGGACCCUGAAGAAGGAAGGAGACAGAAGGCCUGAUCCUUGCAGCCCAGGAGCAAGACAUCAGCACAAAGGCCAUUCAGGCCAAGAUCGAAAAAUCAGCUGAUGACCCAAAAUGCAGACUGUGCAAGGAAACCGACUAAACCAUGGAUCAUCUCCUCAGCUGCUGUAAGAAAAUCGCACAGACAGACUACAAACAGAGGCACAACUAUGUGGCCCAAAUGAUUCAUUGGAACUUAUGCCUCAAGGACCACCUCCCAGCAGCAAAGAACUGGUGGGAUCACAAACCUGCAAAAGUCUUGGAAAAUGAGCACGCAAAGAUACUGUGGGACUUCCGAAUCCAGACUGACAAAGUUCUGGAACACAACACACCAGACAUCACAGUUGUGGAAAAGAAAAAGGUUUGGAUCAUUGAUGUUGCCAUCCCAGGUGACAGUCGCAUUGAAGAAAAACAACAGGAAAAACUCGGCCACUCUCAGGACCUCAAGAUUGAACUUCAAAGACUCUGGCAGAAACCAGUACAGGUGGUCCCGGUGGUGAUGGGCACACUGGGUGCCGUGCCAAAAGAUCUCAGCCGGCAUUUGGAAACAAUAGACAUUGACAAAAUUACGAUCUGCCGACUGCAAAAGGCCACCCUGCUGGGAUCUGCGCACAUCAUCCGAAAAUACAUCACACAGUCACACAGUCCUACAUCACUUGGGAAGUGUUCGACUUGUGGUUUUGUGAUACGAAAUCCAGCAUGUCUAUCUUGUAUGCUGUGUCAUAAUAAUAAUAAUAAUAAUAAUAAUAAUAAUAAUAAUAAUAAUAAUAAUAAUAAUAAUAAUACAUCACACAGUCCUAGACACUUGGGAAGUGUUCGACUUGUGGUUUUGUGAUACGAAAUCCAGCAUGUCUAUCUUGUAUGCUGUGUCAUAAUAAUAAUAAUAAUAAUAAUAAUAAUAAUAAUACAUCACACAGCCCUAGACACUUGAGAAUGUUCAACCUGUGAUUUUGUGAUACGAAAUCCAGCAUGUCUAUCUUGUAUGCUGUGUCAUAAAAUAAUAAUAAUAAUAAUAAUAUUCAUAGUAAUAAUAAUAAUAAUGCAAGAAAGGACACCAUCUUGCUAGGCCUGGGGUCUGCCUGGGGCCCCCUCCUCCUCCUCCUCCUCCUCCUCUUUGCAGGGAAAUCAAUGCAAAGGCUGGUUUUCCCCCAACAAUGAAUCAAGGAGGAUGAAUCAGGGAAAGCGGGCUCCCUCCUCCUCCCUCUCGCUUUCCUUUUUUGCAGCACCCUCCAGUGCCUCCCCCCCCUUUUCUUUUUUUCUCUCCCUUUCUCCUUUUCUUUGCUUUUCUCGCAGGUUCGCCUGCCGCCUCCAAAGGUGGAUGAUGCCGGCAGCCGGGGUUGCCAUGGCGACCGCAUCCAGGUGCCACCUUGACGUGCUGGGGAGGCUUAACUACUCUAAUGAUGACCGACGAAACCAUGGAUCAUAUCCUCAGCUGCUGUAAGAAAAUCGCACAGACAGACUACAAACAGCGGCACAACUCUGUGGCCCAAAUGAUCCAUUGGAACUUAUGCCUCAAGGACCACCUCCCAGCAGCAAAGAACUGGUGGGAUCACAAACCUGCAAAAGUCUUGGAAAAUGAGCACGCAAAGAUACUGUGGGACUUCCGAAUCCAGACUGACAAAGUUCUGGAACACAACACACCAGACAUCACAGUUGUGGAAAAGAAAAAGGAUUGGAUCAUGGAUGUUGCCAUCCCAGGUGACAGUCGCAUUGACGAAAAACAACAGGAAAAACUCAGCCGCUAUCAGGACCUCAAGAUUGAACUUCAAAGACUCUGGCAGAAACCAGUGCAGGUGGUCCCGGUGGUGAUGGGCACACUGGGUGCCAUGCCAAAAGGUCUCAGCCGGCAUUUGGAAACAAUAGGCAUUGACAAAAUUACGAUCUGCCAACUGCAAAAGGCCACCCGACUGGGAUCUGUGCGCAUCAUCCGAAAAUACAUCACACAGUCCUAGACACUUGGGAAAUGAUCGACUUGUGGUUUUGUGAUACGAAAUCCAGCAUAUCUAUCUUGUUUGCUGUGUCAUACAAUAAUAAUAAUAAUAAUUAUCACCAGAAAAGGCAAAACCUCAUAAUGGGACCUUGCCCAGAACCAUACAGGUGGUGGUUUGCAACUCCCAUCAGCCCAAUUUGGUGACUGUAACUCCCACCGGCCCCAAAUUGGGGGACUGCAGCUCCCAUCAGUCCCAAAUUGAAUAACUGCAAUGUCCAUCAGCCCCAAACUGGGUGACUACAACUCCCAACGUCCCCAAAUUGGGUGAAAGCAACUCCCAUCAGCCCCAAACUGGUUGAAAGCAAUUCCCAUUGGCCCCAAAUUGGGUGAGUGUAACUCCCAUCGACCCCAAAAUAGAUGACUGCAAUUCCCAUCAGCCCCAAAUUGGCUGCAACUCCCAACGGCCCCAAAUUGGAAGACUGCAACUCCCAUCGGCCCCAGAUCUUUGGCUUCCCUCCAAAUAAUUGACCAAAUGGCUCAGCCUUCUUGCUGGGCUGCAACUUCCAUCAUCCCCACCCUUUGAUAGACAUUGAAAUACACACUUCCAAGCGACCAUUCAGGGAAAUUCGGACUACGACUCCCACAGUCCCCAGAAGGGGCGUCUUAGAGCACUGAAGAAGGCAGAAGACUGUCAACAGUGAGACUCGAUCAUUAACUCCCAGAAUGCUGUAUUUGGUCAGGGCUUAUGGGAGUUGGAGUCCAAAACCCACCAGAAGCUUGAGAAGCAUUGGUCUAGGUGACCUUUGGAGUUCCUUCCAAAAGGGUUGAGUGUUGGGCUGGCCUUACAGAACCAAUGCCAAGGCUGGGAUUUGUAGUUUAUUGGGUGCCGGCCCUCAUUGGCAGGGAAAGCUUUGCAAAACGAUGACAACAACGACAACAACGACACAACAACAAUGCUCUAUCUCUGAGAAAAGGAAUGGGUCAGAACCCUAAAGCAGCACGCGGAUCUCGGAGGCUACAGAAAUGUUAUUUUUUUGGACUACAAGUCCCAGAAUGCUGCAGCAAAGAUGGCUGCUGGUGGGGAAUUUGCAGAGUUGGACCUGGGAAAACAUGGCUGGGUUUCUGUGGAGAAAGAGCGCCCCCCACCCCUUCCCUGGACAAAAGAGGUACUGCAGCUUCAAAUGGGAACACAUUGAUUGGAGAAACAGGAGGUGCUUUUUGAAAAGCCGUACCUUAAUAUUUCUGCAGAAAGUCACAUUUAUAAAUCUUAAAAUGGAAAACAAGGGGGACAAAUAAAUAAAUACAAAACAGGGUUAUAUGGAAAGCCAAGAUGCAAAACCACGAGGCCUAAAUCUGUAUUUGGAAGCCAAAGAUGGCUAAAAUUAGAAGUAAUAAUAAUAAUAUUAAUACUUCGAACCUACUGGAAUUUUAAUUUGUAGAAAACUUAAUACAUAUUUUUUAAACAGUAUUUAAAAAGAAACAGUGAAAAACCUUAAAACCAACUAAAUAAAACCUGUUUGUGUAGCUAAAAGCGCAUGAAAAUAAAGCAAAAGUGGGGCUGAAUCACCAGAAAGCAAAAGUGGGGCUGAAUCCUGUGUGAAAUUCCAGGAAUAAUAAUAAUAAUAAUAAUAAUAAUAAUAAUAAUAAUAAUAAUAAUAAUAAUAAAAAUAGAAAAGCAGGGAAUGAUGAUGAUAAUGGUGAUAGGAAAAGCAGGGAUAAUAAUGAUAGAAGGGAAUAAUAAUAAUAAUAAUAAUAAUAAUAAUAAUAAUAGAAAUAAGAAAAAGCAGGGAAUAAUAAUAAUGAUGAUGAUAUCAGAGGAUAAUAAUAAUAGUAAUAAUAGUAGUAGUAGUAAUAAUAAUAAUAGAGUAACAAUAGAAAUCAGAAAAAGCAGAGAAUAAUAAUAGAAAAAGCAGGGAAUAAUAAUGAUUAGGAUAAUAAUUGAAAAGCAGGCAAAAACAACAAUAAUAGCAAUAAUAAUAAUAAUAAUAGAAAAAGCAGGAAUAAUAAUAAUAAUAAUGCAGCGGAUAAUAAUAAUAAUACAGUAGAGUCUCACUUAUCCAAGCUAAACGGGCCGGCAGAACGUUGGAUAAGCGAAUACGUUAGUUAAUAAGGAGAGAUUAAGGAGAAGCCUAUUAAACAUCAAAUUAGGUUAUGAUUUUACAAAUUAAGUACCAAUACAUCAUGUUAUAGAACAAAUUUGACAGAAAAAGUAGUUCAAUACGCAGUAAUGCUGUGUAGUAAUUAUUGUAUUUAUGAAUUUAGCACCAAAAUAUCACAAUAUAUUGAAAACAUUGACUACAAAAAUGCGUUGGAUAAUCCAGAACGUUGGAUAAGCGAGUGUUGGAUAAGUGAGACUCUACUGUAAUGUGUGUCUCCAAGGGGUACGUUUAUGAUGAUGAUGAUAAUAAUAAUAAUAAUAGAAAAAGCAGAGAAAUAAUAAUAAUAAUAAUAAUAGGUAUCACUCGAAGCCACCCCCAGUUUUGGGACAUUUUCAGUUUUGGAGUCGUUGCUUAUCCAAGUCCAAAGCAGAAAGGGUCACACUCUCUCAGCCUCCCCGGGGAGCCAUUUUGGAAUAUUUUGAGGUCCCAGAUAUGGCCCGUUGUUCAGCUUGCACUGCCUUUCCCCCCAUUGACACAAACCAGACCAGAGCGGCAAACAAUCCAAAGCUUUAUUGUGAGCGAAACAACCUCUCGAGUGCGAACGGAGUGGCGUUUUGCAGCCGUAGAAAGGGUUGCUUGCUUGCUUGGGUGGGUGCAAAAGGAUGGGGGAAAGAAAUGGAUAUGGACCCCUUUCUGGGGGGAGAAACAUUGGACCCAGUGCAUAGUCAUCGCGUCCAACCCCUUCACCAUAUAUUCAAUUUUGCAUUUCACUAUUUAUGCAUAAGUACGAGUUAAGAUUUGGACUACAGCUCCCAUCAAACAAGAGAUUCAGGCCUGGGCCAACUUUGGCCCUCCCUCCAGGGGUUUUGGACUCCAACUCCCACCAUUCCUAACAGCCGGUAGGAGUUGGAGUCCAAAAUCCUUGGAGGGAGGGCCAAAGUUGGCCCAGGCCUGGUAUAAAGUCGCUUUUCCGUCCCUGAUCCUUAGCAAUAAGGCACUGCAAUCUCCACCCGCCCACCCACCCACCGACAAUAAAAGACCCCCGAGUGCCACGUGCUUGAAUGCGUGGGGUUGCUUCCUAUAGUACAAAAUGCAAGCUGCGUUGGGGAUACGGCGACGUCGGAAGCAGCAAGGAAACCUGAUGUCGAGCCCCGAAACGGAGCAAAGAGAGAGAGAGAGAGAGACCCCGCUUCCCAUCCAGAAUGACUCCUUCCGGGACACAAAAUGGAAUGAUGCCCCCUUAAAGAGGGUCUACACAGCGGACCCAAUUCCGGGGGAAAAGGAGACUGGCCUGGGGUCCCGGGACGGAGCGCCUCUUCCAUCAUCCUCGGCUGCGGAAGCGGCAGUGGCGGCGGCGGCUACAGCUUGCUCUGGGCAAAUUGGAGCAGGGCCUCCAUCUGGGCCUCCAGGGAGAGGGUGUCGCCCUCGUUGGACAGCACCCAGUCGAAGGGCAUCCCCUGGUCCAGGCCGCACUCCGACUCGGAGUCGUCGAUCCCUGGAGAGGAGAGGAGAGGACAGAGGGGCGGUCAGCACAGGAAGCGUCCAUCCGCACUGGCAAAGGAGGGUGCCGCUUGGGACUGCUGCAGCUGCCACGGUUACAGGAGGAUGAUGAUGAUGAUGGGUGUCCACAAGGGGUGCAUCAAUAAUAAGAGUACAAAUACUAAUAAUGUGUGUUUACAUAGGGCGCAUCUAUGAUAACAAAAAUACAUAUCUAUUACUACUAAAAAUGUGUGUCUUCAUAGGGUGCAUCUAUGAUAAUAAUACUAAUAUUACUAAUAAUAAUGUGUGUCUACAUAGGGUGCAUUUAUGGUAACAACAACAAUAGACAUGUGUGUCCACAUAGGGUGCACCUAUAAUGAUGAUGAUGAUGAUAAUAAUAAUAAUAAUUUGUCUGUACACAGGGUGCAGCUAUGAUAACAACAACAAUAAUGUGUGUCUACAUAGGGUGCAUCUAUGACGACGACGAUAAUAACAAUAAUAAUCUAUAUCUACAAGGAGUACAUCUAUGAUAAUGGUAAUAAUAAUAAUAAUAACAAUAAUAAUGUGUGUCUACAAGGGGUACAUCGAUGAUGAUGAUGAUAAUAACAAUAAUAAUCUGUAUCUACAAGGAGUACAUCUAUGACAAUGGUAAUAAUAAUAAUGUGUGUCUGCAAGGGGUACAUCGAUGAUGAUAAUAAUAAUUAUAGUAACAAUGUGUGUCCAUUGAUGAUGAUGAUGGUGGUGAUGAUAAUAAUAAUAAUAAUAAUAAUAAUAAUAAUAAUAAUAAUAAUAAUGUGUGUCUCUAAGGGGUACAUCUAUGAUGGUGGUGAUGGUGAAAAUAAUAAUAUUAUGUGCCUACAAGGGGUACAUCUAUGAUGAUGAUGCCGAUGAUGAUAAUAACAUGUGUCUCCAAGGGGUACAUCUAUAAUUAUUGUGUUGAUAAUAAUAAUAAUAAUGUGUGUGAUGGGGACAAUAAUAAUUGCGAUGUGUUGUUUUGUGUUGUGGUGUGUCUCACCUGGGACGAAGACCCAGUCCCUCCUCCUCCGCGUCUCCUCUGUGGCCACGACCCGCACCACUUGCACCAGGUCCCCAUAGACGUCCCGGAACCACUCCACGUCCGAGAGGCGCCUCGUGUCGCUGACCAGCUGCGCCAACAGAAAGGAGGAAGCCAUGAAAAUGAACACAAUCUGGUGAGCAGAAUCAAGACAGUAAAUAAAGAACACCACUCAGACACAGGGGAAGUCCAGAUGGCAAACAAUUCCUAUGCCAUACAAAGCGCAUAUGUGUGUAUGCACACACACACACACAUACAUACAUACACAAGCAUAUAUAUUUGGCGGAUGCCUCACCCAGAUGGGCUGCGUGACCUCCCCCACCACGAUGCGGCAGAAGAAGCCAGGGUCGGCCCGGCGGCGCUCCUCUCCCCACCGGAUCAUGUCCUGCCGGUAAGUCUCCUUGUAGUCCGUGGCAUCCAGGAGGCGCUGGAAGUCCAGGCCGUGCUCCUGAAGGCAAAAAAUACAAAAAUAAUAUAUAAUAUUACAAAACGUCAGGAGAUAAUACAGCCCAGAAAACAUACAACAACCCAAUACUCCUGUAUAUUAUUAUUAUUAUUAUUAUUAUUAUUAUUAUUAUUACUGUUGCUUGGGACAUGACAGAAUCAUGCCUUCUUCUGUGUAUCAUCAACAUUAUUCUAGUGUGGCUUGGGACAUAAUACAGUAGAGUCUCACUAAUCCAAGCUAAACGGGCCGGCAGAAGCUUGGAUAAGCGAAUAUCUUGGAUUAUAAGGACUGAUCAAGGAAAAGCCUAUUAAACAUCAAAUUAGGUUAUGAUUUUACAAAUUAAGCACCAAAACAUCAUGUUAUACAACAAAUUUGACAGAAAAAGUAGUUCAAUACGCAGUAACGUUAUGUUGUAAUUACUGUAUUUACGAAUUUAGCACCAAAAUAUCACGAUAUAUUGGAAACAUUGACUACAAAAAUGGCUUGGAUUAUCCAGAGGCUUGGAUAAGCGAGGCUUGGAUUAGUGAGACUCUACUGUACUCCUAUCUUCUCCUGUAUAUUAUUAUUAUUAUUAUUAUUAUUACUGUUGCUUGGGACAUGACAGAAUCAUGCCUUCUCCUGUGUAUCAUCAACACUAUUCUAGUGUGGCUUGGGACAUAAUACUCCUAUCUUCUCCUGUGUAUUAUUAUUAUUAUUAUUUAUUCCAUAAACCUGCCCGUUCUUUGCGAUCAUCCGGGGAGGCCCUGUUAUCACCAUUGCCUAUAUCCCAGGCCCGCCUUGUAAGUACAAGGGAGAGGGCCUUCUCUGCUGUGGCCCCCCGACUGUGGAACUCACUACCUACUGAAAUAAGGCAAGCUCCCACUCUGUUAGCUUUUAGGAGAGAAUUGAAAACAUGGCUCUUCCGUUGUGCUUUCGGUGAGUAAUUUCUGUCAUAUAUCUCCGUAUUACUCCCCUCCGAACAUCUAUCCUCUAGAUUACCCCUUCCAAAUGUCCCUGCCCAUAGUGGAGCACUCCUCUGUCCCUCUCACUCCGGGUUUUAUCUCUGUGUUCAAGCGGCCUGCCCUUGCUUUAUUGUUUUUUUUAUUUCUUGAUGUUCUGUUUAUUAUUAUUUAUUGUAUUUUAAAUGGUGUUAUGAUAUGUUGUUUCUAUAUUUUAUUAUGUUGUAUUGCUCUGGGCAUGGCCCCAUGUUAGCCGCCCCGAGUCCCCAUUGGGGAGAUGGUGGCGGGGUAUAAAUAAAGUUUUAUUAUUAUUA